Molecule: ribosomal RNA, 449 nt
Filed under: uncultured bacterium
Lineage: Bacteria
Description: partial 16S ribosomal RNA
Rfam family: Bacterial small subunit ribosomal RNA
Source: RNAcentral
AACGAACUCUGGCGGCAGGCUUAACACAUGCAAGUCGAACGCAUCCUUCGGGGUGAGUGGCAGACGGGUGAGUAACGCGUGGGAACGUGCCCUUCAGUUCGGGAUAACCCAGGGAAACUUGGGCUAGUACCGGAUACGUGCGAGAGCAGAAAGAUUUAUCGCUGAAGGAUCGGCCCGCGUCUGAUUAGCUAGUUGGUGGGGUAAUGGGCCACCAAGGCGACGAUCAGUAGCUGGUCUGAGAGGAUGAUCAGCCACAUUGGGACUGAGACACGGCCCAAAAUCCUACGGGAGGCAGCAGGGGGGAAUAUUGGACAAUGGGCGCAAGCUUGAUCCAGCCAUGCCGCGUGAGUGAUGAAGGCCUUAGGGUUGUAAAGCUCUUUCGUCCGGGACGAUAAUGACGGUACCGGAAGAAGAAGCCCCGGCUAACUUCGUGCCAGCAGCCGCCGUAA